This 160-nucleotide ribosomal RNA is filed under the name uncultured bacterium. RNAcentral's name for it is "partial 16S ribosomal RNA". It matches the Rfam family "Bacterial small subunit ribosomal RNA", at positions 334 to 508 of the family's 1533-position model. The record is from RNAcentral.
AACUCCGUACGGGAGGCAGCAGUGGGGGAAUAUUGCACAAUGGGCGAAAGCCUGAUGCAGCGACGCCGCGUGAGCGAAGAAGUAUUUCGGUAUGUAAAGCUCUAUCAGCAGGGAAGAUAAUGACGGUACCUGACUAAGAAAGCACCGGCUAAAUACGUGC